CAGUGGCGAACGGGUGAGUAACACGUGAGCAACCUGCCCUUCACUUCGGGAUAAGCCUUGGAAACGGGGUCUAAUACCGGAUAGGAGCACCUGCUGCAUGGUGGGUGUUGGAAAGUUUUUCGGUGAGGGAUGGGCUCGCGGCCUAUCAGCUUGUUGGUGGGGUAACGGCCUACCAAGGCGUCGACGGGUAGCCGGCCUGAGAGGGCGACCGGCCACACUGGGACUGAGACACGGCCCAGACUCCUACGGGAGGCAGCAGUGGGGAAUAUUGCACAAUGGGCGAAAGCCUGAUGCAGCGACGCCGCGUGAGGGAUGACGGCCUUCGGGUUGUAAACCUCUUUCAGCAGGGAAGAAGCGCAAGUGACGGUACCUGCAGAAGAAGCGCCGGCUAACUACGUGCCAGCAGCCGCGGUAAUACGUAGGGCGCAAGCGUUGUCCGGAAUUAUUGGGCGUAAAGAGCUCGUAGGCGGUCUGUCGCUGCUGGUGUGAAAUCCCAUGGCUCAACUAUGGGCUUGCAUCGGGUACGGGCAGACUAGAGUGCUGUAGGGGAGACUGGAAUUCCUGGUGUAGCGGUGGAAUGCGCAGAUAUCAGGAGGAACACCGAUGGCGAAGGCAGGUCUCUGGGCAGUCACUGACGCUGAGGAGCGAAAGCAUGGGGAGCGAACAGGAUUAGAUACCCUGGUAGUCCAUGCCGUAAACGUU
RNAcentral lists this ribosomal RNA (702 nucleotides) under Promicromonospora citrea. RNAcentral's name for it is "bacterial SSU rRNA". It matches the Rfam family "Bacterial small subunit ribosomal RNA", at positions 93 to 810 of the family's 1533-position model. The record is from RNAcentral. Lineage: Bacteria; Bacillati; Actinomycetota; Actinomycetes; Micrococcales; Promicromonosporaceae.